Molecule: non-coding RNA, 5297 nt
Organism: Podarcis lilfordi (Lilford's wall lizard)
Lineage: Eukaryota; Metazoa; Chordata; Lepidosauria; Squamata; Lacertidae
Source: the annotation of a GenBank genome assembly
GUGGUAGUCAGGAGAAACCCAAGAGCAGUGCAAGGAGAAGGGAGCUUGUUCUCCUUAGCACUGCAUUGGAUUGUACCCCAAAUGUUUUGCCCUGAGGCCUCACAAGAGAGGCUGAAUAAAGCCUUUAAAAGCCCUACAAUCAUCUUGCCUGUUGCAGUGGUGAGUUGCUAAGAUUUGUCUCCUGUCUCCUGGAUAGACUCCACAAUAAUGGGGCUGAGAUCGAGUGCAUAUAUCCAACAGUAAUAAUUUAAGAGUGUAAGACUAUCAGAAGAGUCCUGCUGGAUCACACCAUUGUUCCACCUAACCCAGUGUUCUUCUUUGCAAGUCAGCUAUCCAGAAAUCUCUGAGCAGCCCACAAGUAGAUUGGAAGGCUGUAGACCUCUCAUGCGGUAUUCAACAACAUACUUGCACUGGACUCUGGAAGUUCCAAAUACCCAUCAUGGUGAAUGUGCAUUUAUCAUCAUCUUCUUCUUGAAUUUGAAAAGCCAUCUAAGCCAGUAGCCAACACAAAUCGUCUGGCAGCAAUUUCCAUCAAUUAAUGAUGCAUUUUUAUUUUGCUUGUCCUGAAUCCACUGCCAAUCUGUUCCACUGGAUGACCCCAAGUUCUCAAGCAGUUGGCACAUUGGUUCAGGAAGUGCAGAUCAGGUGAGUCCACUCUAGAAAUCAAGUUCACUGAAUUCCUCCCCCUAUCCAUAGUAGUUGUACCCAUAAUUUUGUGUGCAUGUAUGGCAGCGUGAAUUAUUAGCAGAUGGAACCCUUGCUGGUAUGGUUGGGACUGAGGGGGGCUUGUUAUAAAAGUUCAUCAUUACUUAAAUGAAUCCUGGCCAGGAUGUGUUUGGAGAUUUUGGUGUGGUGGUUGUUUUUUUUUUUUUUGGUGGGGGGAAUGUGAGGAACACAAUUAGAGUUUUAUUCAAUAGAGUUUUAUACAUUAUGAAUGGGGUAAAAUUCAUGGCUGGAAAGAUCUGGUGACGGCAUUUAGUUUAGAUGGAUUAAAAAGGUAAUCAGACAAAUUCAUGGGUGAUGCGUAUUUUGAUAGCUAUUAGUCUUGAUAGCUAAAUGCAGUGUCUAUGUUCAGAAUCAUUACACCUCUCAAUGCCUGUUGCUGGGACCAAACAGUGGAGUAAAUCUAUUCCCUUGCAUGGUCUCCCGAGCAAGCUCUCUGCAGCACUACCAUACUGCAAAUAGCCAACAAUUAUAAGUAUUUGUAAACUUCUAUACUCAGUGUGUUGGAGGCUUGAAGAGAGACUAUCACUUCCCAGCUUCAGUCAUGAUAUGUUGUUCUUAUUUCUUGGCUAUUGCCACAGUUCAUGGGACUUACUGAAGCAAGAGAUGCAGAUGUUGGCAGGAGACCGAAUGUUUCAUACUGGGUUAUUGCUGUGAGGUGUAUGGGUCCACUAGCUUUGAAACACUCUCUUUGGGUGUGAUGAGUUUCACCUCUACACUGAGUUUUUCACCUACACUGAGUUUUUCACCUCUACACUGAGAUAAAACACACAUAUUAAUAUUUAGAUAUGAAUUUACAUAUGAAUUUUGUUCUUUUAACAUUCAGAUUAAUGAGGAUGCACUGAAUUAUGAAUGAACACAUGUAAAAUUGAACUGGAUCAGAAAUAGAUCUGUCUGUCCCUAGCACACCCAUUGCUGCAAUAUGAAACAGCAAGAAUGUAGUACUGAAUUGGAUUCUGGUGGCAUCACUGCAGUGUGUGUUAAAUACUACUUUGGGAGGAUUUUGAGAUCUCUGUGAUCAAAAUCCUCCAUGCCCCUGAAAACAGAAUAUAUGAGCAGAAAUUGAAACCUAAACAUACUGAGUUCUCAGCAUGAAUUUAGGUUGGGGCACAAGUGGCACACAUUCCAUUCUCAUUCCUGCGUUGGGGGGGGGGGUGAUAUACAAUGAGAAUUCAGAGAGAAAAAUGUUCAGUAUAAGAAUGCAAUACCCUUAUCCCUUAUCUGGUAUACAUUCUCAUGCUGCCCUUAAUGCUCACUUAGGUUAAAGACAGAGCUAAGGCUGAGAGAAACAAAUGGCAUCCCAGUAUAUUCUCUAUGCUAUUUGUUGGUGGUGAUACUGAGCGGGGUGGGAUGUUGCCAGAUAUUUUUGAUGAGGGAGGUGAAGUUCUGAUGUCUCACUUUUUGUUGAAUGGAUAUUGUUAGCUUAUACUGGUGGGUGAAGGAGGCCGUGGGAUAAGAGAGCACAACUGGAAGAAUUAGAGGCCAAGCCCAUUUAUUUCUUCAACAAUAUUAAAAUAUUAUUUAAAAACAUUUUUAAAAAUCCAAAAUGCAAAGAUGGCAACAUUGGGGAGGCCAUUUUGUUCAAUAUUCCCUAGGGGAAUGUUGUAAUUCCCUAAUAGUUCAGCUCACAGAAGAAAAGCUGCAAACACUUGUCAGAAAUUUAUUUGCUAGGAAAUUUCAGCUUUUCUGCUCAGGAGUUCUUUGGCAGUCUUCUUCAGUCUAGUAACCUCCCGAUCUUUGGGGCUAUAGCUCCUAUAAUCCUGAUGUUGUCUGAAGCUGAUUGAAGCUGUAGUUCAAACACUUGAAUGACACCAGGUUGGGAAAAGCUGUUCUUUGGAGUCCAGGUGCACCGAGUUGUGCCCAACAUUGGGGGGCACAUCAUGUGUGUAUAAUGUCAGGCACAUGACGUCCCCCUCCAGCCCGACCAGACCCACUCAGCCCACUGGGCACAUUUUCUGGAGGAGAUGCAACCAGGCGCCCCCCCAAACAGACUCCCGUCGGAGCCUGUUCCAGCGUGCGAGGGAGCCAAGGAGGCAGCUUCCUCAGAGUGAAGAGCUGGUGGCAGAGAGCUGCUCUCCUCAACUGAGCUGUACCACAUGCCUUUCCAUCAUGAGGUGCCUGGCCACGACUGCUCUAUUCCCAGGUCAAGCCUGACCCGAGGGGUGGAGAGAGGCUGCAGCAUGCAAGGGAUGGGGUGCAUGGAGGGUGAUGUUGACCUUUGAAUGUCCCAUCCCCACCCAGCUGCCAAGCGCUCGAGAGUGCUUGCCCAGGUGUGCAGGAGAAGGAUGGGAUGGGCAGAAGAUGAUGUUCAUCCUUGCAUGUCCCGCCCGGCUGCUGAGUGCUUGCCCAGAAGCAGGCCAGGGGGAUGAAGCCCAGUGGUGGCGGGGGGUGGCAGCCCCCUCAAUAUUGGGGGGCUGAACCCCCUGCCCCAAAAUAUUGAGGGAAUGAAGCUUCCUCUGUCCCCUAUAGUUGGUGUCCCUGUUGGAGUUCUAAUUAUGUAAUUUUGGAAUACUCUUAUAACUAUUGCAUAUGUGGGGUGAGCAUUCAUCAGACCAGGAACCCAAAUAUUUGUAGUGUAAACAGAAGCUCUUUAAUGUUCAAAGGCUUAUUUUGGCAAAAUGGUUUAUUCCUGUGAACCAUGUAAACAGUUCUGCCAAACAAGGACACUUUUGGUUGUUCACUAUCUUCUCUAUUUGGGUCAGUCAUCUUGAUUGCCUUUUGCAGUUGUUUCAUGAGGUUGUGAUCUCCGAACCAGCUCUAAAGAAAUCUCCUCUUUUGUUUCUGGGCACAUUUGUAUGGUAGGGAAAGGCAGUGGAAUUUCCAAACAGUCCUCUGUUAUGAAUGAUGCUCUGGAUUGGAGAAAUUAAGCCAAACUACAUUUCCUAAUACAGUAGGUGGGCACAGUGCACAAACUCCGUGCAAAAGCAUCAACUUUAUACAGCUGGUGGAAACUCUUGGGAAACAAAUGAGCCUUUUCUGAAUGCGCAGGAAGAAAACUUGUAAAUACCAAGCCAAUUCUAAAUCAAGCUGAGAGCACAAGCCGCCUGCCUUCUGGGCUUUGAAAAUGUAAGGGAAGACCUUCUGCCAUGAUUAUUUACAUAAUUAAUUUUCCAGGUAAUUUCACUUUUUAAAACCUCAACAGGCCUCCUUACAAUUCUCUUAUCUCAGUCACAUAUUGUAGUGACACUGCACUUUAAUUUGGCAUGCAUUUGAAAGUGUCACAUUUUAAGAAGUGUCCAGCAGACUGUUGAGAAAUACUUUCAGAGUAAAAUAGAGCAAAAUGACGCUUCGCUACUUUCGGUUUUCUUCUUGAAAAGUGAAUUCUGGCAGCUUCGUCAAGCCCUUUAUGAACAUUGAGCAGUUUCUCAGUCAUGCUAAAUGAGCUUUCAUUACAGAGAGAAGUGAAAUUCAGCAGCCGGAAUUCAAUUGUGCCAUACUUUCGAAUUUAUUUAUCAAAAUUUAUAUCCUAUCUUUUUUAUAAAAUAUCCAGGGUAUCUUACAAUAUACAGUCAUUACAUUAAAAAACCCAGCAUCAGUAGCAUCAAUGAAUGCAGUCUAAAAACCAGAAGAAGAAGAGCAUAAGGUUUAAAUGAUGUUGCUUGCUCUAUUCCCCCUCCCUCUUUUUUUUGAGGGGCAGCUUUUUCUCAGCCACCCUGGAAACUCAAUAAAGGACAGAAUGCAAUUCCUUAAAAUAAAGGGAUAUACAUCAUUCAAAUUAUCGCUGUCCUACAUACAUCUCUGUUCAGAAUACACUUAUUCCAGUGAAGCUACAAGGUUUAAUUGGUUGAACUGAUAAGCCUAAAUGGUCGCAACCAUGUAUCAAGGUCUGGCUGGCGUGUAGGGUCAUGGUGAUUAAGAGCCUAAGGUGUGAGUCAGGAAUUGCUGGCUCAGGAAAAUGCAUAAGCAAGGAGUCUCAGUAGUCUUUAGGUCUGCAUUUCCUGUAAGCUCCACACUAGUUUUUGCCUGCACAACAUUAUUUUGCCUUUUCCCGUUAGAAUUUCAAGAGGCGCAAUUCAAAACACUGAGAGAAAAACAAAAACUACAGCUCUAUGAUUCUAUGAAACAAAAAACCUUGAUGGCUGCCCGCUAAUCUUUCUGCUUUGUGGAUGUUCAGUCAGAAGUCCUCCACCUGGAGGAAAGAGAAAUGAACUCAGAAAUGGACUAAGAGUUCACUGUGUCUGCUCUGAUUGACCAAGCCACACUACAAAGGGGGAGGAGGGCUUUGAUUACUCAUUGUCAUUGUGACAUCAGGUGACUGAUAAGAGGGUGGCCCCAUCCAUCCAUCCCCCCAAAAUACCCCACUGGGUGGGGUUGGGAGAACUGUUAAAAUGGUCUGCCAGUUGGAAAAGAUUCCAUACCCCUGAAAUGGGUCUUUGUUCUGACGGGUCUUUGUGCAGAUAGAUAAGGCUAUUUUGACAUUUGUAAGAGAGCAUAGGAAAGUUCAGAGACCAGCUGAAAUUCCAUAUGCACUGUCCACUCCCUCCCUGAAACCAACACCGUCUCAUUCUUGGGGUCAGCACACGUGAACCCCCUGGCCCAAGUAAUACCCUAUCCCUGACCAAGGGAUCACACCU